UGAGAUAAGCUAGGUUAUCUUUUUCCACUCUUACUCACUUGCUUUGCUGAUAAAGAAAGGGGGUUCUUUUGUCACUUAGGGCAAAAGUGGACAUGGCCUGGCAGAAUCUGUCCUUUUCUACCCUUUGGUGCUCGGACUGGCCCAUGCUGCCCCUUUUACCUGGCAGUGAAGGACAACUCACCUGUUUUGUUUUAUUUGUUCCUCAUUACUGACGGCUGUUUCAGUGGAGUUAAAGGAGUCUUUGGAAAAGCAGUAGUAAAAGACGUUUGCUGUUUCACCUCCAAGUAAAAUGCAUUCAGAGGAAAGACUGACCUUGUUGGUGACAGGAAACAAAGUGGAACUGUGUGGACACUCAAGUGUGCAGCUGCUGAGGUGGCGUACUGACAGCGAGGUCUCUAUAGGCAUGGCUGAAGUGAUUUUAACUACAGGGGAAACAGUGGAAAUAUUGAAAUAAGCCAUAUAAAGCAACUCCUGGCAUAGCUGACGCUCAGUUGGGUGUGGAAAUGGACAGCUAACCAUGGCCUCCUGGCUCUGCAUGUCCUUUUGAUUCCCAGUACGAUUCAGGAACUGGAGAUGAUAUGGCGAGGGAGCUGGGGUUCAGGAGCAGCUAAAUAGAUAAGAUGAACUGUGGAGUAUAGAGAGGAGAAAAUGGGUGGAGGAGGUGGGGCACGAACUGAGUUCUUCUGCUAGGAAAGCGAGGAGAAAGGAGUUUCUCCAAUUAAAAAAAAAAAAGAGCAUUCACUUAUGAAAACAGCCAGCUUAAUUUCCUUUAUUCAGGAGAGCUGAGAAUGAUUACAAAUGAAAAUGAUCACUAGUAUUCUCCACUGUCUUGUACUGUGACACUGUGAACUUUUUGAUGGUGAUGUUGAGAACUCCCUUCUGGAUGUUAUCAUUUAUGGUGUAUCUUCCUUUUUCAGUGUUAUUCUCAGAGGCGCUGGUCAUCUUUUCUGUACUGACCAGGACACUCGGCAGAGACAUUCUCCGUCUCCCUCGUUGCAUAUCCUUGGGUUUCUGGAUAAGGUCAAACCGGUUAGUAAUGUUCAGAGCAUGUGCCUGUUCUUGAAGAGGAAACUGCACCCUGUGUGACUUGGCUCCUGGGCCUGGAGAAGCCAGAAUCUCUAUGUAAUAGGAACUGGAGUUGACCGUCUUCCUUUCCCAGCAGGGCAGGGAAAUUCUCCAUCUGAAAAGAAACUUGGUUUUGUGGUUAAACUUUCAGGAACUUCUUCUUCUAAUGCUGAAAUACUAUGCA
Long non-coding RNA from Cairina moschata (Muscovy duck), 1249 nucleotides. The record is from Ensembl. NCBI's taxonomy places the organism in Eukaryota, Metazoa, Chordata, Aves, Anseriformes, Anatidae.